GAAAAAAAAUCCAGAAAAAACAGCGCACAUGCCCCCGCUCCCUCAAUCCCUAGCUAGCCGUCGCUCCUCUCCUCUUCUCCACCCACCGCCACCGCCGCCACCGCACCUCAAUCCCGAGCCAUUUCCUUCUCUCCCUCUAUACCUCCUACACUACCGGCGCUCCUACCCGGACCAUCCACGUCCUUCUGACCCACGCACGCCGCCUGCACUCCACGCCCCCACGCGACGCCACCACACCAAGGGGCACUGAUGGCCGCCGCCGGCGUGGGUCUUGGACUUGUGGGCCACCUCAUGCCGACAUGGUGCCUCCCGGUGACGACCACCACCACCACCUCCUCCUCCUCCUCAAGCCAUCACUGUCGCCUCCCCUCCACCAUGGCUUGCCUGCGUGAGCCCGACACGGGAGGACGACGUCGACCAUGCAGCGGAGCCUAGCGGGCGUGGACCAGCGCAGUGGUCGUCGCCAAGGAUCGAUGGCCGGCGCUGAAGAGGAGGGGGCCCUCUUCCUGCUGCUAUCUUCCCCAUCCCCUACGGGCUGGAUCUAGAGAAGUACGGUGCAUUCCUUCUCCCCUGUGUGUAUUUGAUGCAAUUUGGGGUAACUUUGUAAAUACAGGAACUUUGUGUGAACAUUAUGUGUGCAGUAACUUACAAGGAACAUAAAUGCUUGUACCGAGAGAGGGUGAGGGGCUGAUUUGUCUAGCACUUUUCUCUUCUAGCAGAUAUAUAAGUUGUUGCCGACGACUCCGGCCGGGCGGGUGAUGUUAUGCUUGACCACUUCUUGCAUGAGAUUGUUGACUUGUUGUCUUCUAUCUCAAAAAUGUCGCUCAGGUUCUUUCUCCGUGUGAUAAUCCAGCUCGGCUUGACUGGUAUGAAAGUCGCAUGUUAUUCAUGUCGCAUGUUAUUCAGGUUGCACAUCUCACAAUUGUUUAGAAGAAAUGCAUAUCUUUAUCCAUAUCUACAUUUGCUUUUAGUCAUAGCAAAAAGGGACAAGGACGGCGACUUCAACAGCGAUAGGACGGAAGCCAGUAUGCCUGGACCAACAAGCCGGUGUUCUUUAUUCCCUUCUUUCAUUAUGUCGGGAGUGGAUAAUCAACUUUCGUUUUUCUUUUCUGUACCUUCUUAUUUAUGCAUCUUAGUUAGGAAGCUAACUUCGUUUCUUUGCAUCAUCAUGGAAUAUUUUUUGUAGGAUUUGCAGACAUUUGCUAAGCUUAAAUACGUGAAUAUGGACAUGUGGUAUUAUUCAUUAGAGUGGGCAGGUGAAUGUAGACAAAUUCGGUGGUUUAUAAUUUUUAUCAGAGGCUAGAAGGAACUAAGGAGCGGCACUUGGAGAAGAGGGGUGCCAAAAUCCAACAAGGAAUUGGGCAUGCAACCACUCCACUGACACAACAAUCUCGUUACGUGACGCCGCGUAGAUGCCCAUUGCGGCGGUGGCCACUGACACCGACGACAAUGUGGCAUUGCAGCAAGCGACCCCGAAGUUGGCGAGGCCUGCAGCAGACCUCUGCUGUGCACGCCCAUCCGACCCUACCUGACGGUGUUCCCUGAGCCAUGGUUUGUGCCUUCUCCUCCCCUAUAUCAUCUAACUAAUUCCUUGCAUGCCAUCACCACACAAUCCACUAGAGGUAGACUAAGCCAUACUGGAAACGAGCUUCUGAUUUUCCAGUUUAUUUUGUUUCAGAGUUUGCAGUAUUUCCCCACUUGAUCAUGUAUACUUCUCUUUUUAAUGUAUCUAUGGUCCUCCUUAUACAAAGAAGUUAUUCUUUGUAGGUGAUGUAAAGUCUUCUUUCUUUUUUGGCUAAAAACGUUCAUUGUAGAAAACAAAAUUCAUGCCUAAUGAAUGUGUUAGGUGAGAUGUGGAGUAAGAGGAGACACCAGACCAGCUCGCAAUGCAGUUGGCAUGGUUAACAUUACAAUCUUGGAAAAUGAUCACCUCUAUAGACGAAGGAUUUAUGGACGUACGAAGGAAUGUGGCAUAUAUUAUCUAGAAAAUGGAAUGCUUCCUCCUGAUGCCCAAUCAUGGUGUCAUGCUUCAUUUGAUCCCAAACAACUACUUUGUUUAGUAAUUUAUUUACUCUUCAUCACUGCCUGCAAUUUUGAUCAUUGACUAUAGUUUGUAAAUCAACUUGAAUUUAACUUGGUAAGUUUUAAUUGUCUGUUUUUUUCGCUUAUCGGUUAUGUAUGGAGGUUGUCACAUGUUUGAUUGGACUUCAAUUUGGACAUUUAGUCCUACAUUUCGAGGUAUAAGAUUGUUGUUUGUUUCUAUAUUUGAACAUUUCUUCUUAUGGCGUAGAAACUGUAUUCUAUUUUCCCUUUUUUGGGCUAACUUGCCUGUAGAAGCUCAAAGGAAGAAUUAUCGAUUGGCUAAUCUCUUCUUUCAACCUGUUAGAACUUACAUUUUUCCUGCUUAAAGUAUUACAUGAAUACACUAGAUAAUCACUGGAGCCUGCAGAGUUGACGCAGUAUAACAGAUUAGCCUGAUGCUAAAAGAUGUAGUCAUGCAGACCUCACCAAUGAGUGAAUGUUGGAUUAGGUCCUAAUCAUCCGGAUAUUGCAGCAACUCUUAUAAAUGUGGCAAUGAUGUACCAGGAUGCGAGCAAUAUGAGUACUGCUCUUAGGUAUCUUCAGGAAGCACUUAAGAAGAAUGAGUGCCUUUUAGGCCCAGGUCAUAUUCAAACAACAGUUCGCUAUCAUGCUCUCGUCAUUGCAUUCAGCUGUAUGGGUGCAUACAAGCUUUCAGUUUAGGUUAGUUCUGACGAAAAAAUGGCGGAAUAACAUUGUGACACAUUUUACUGACUUCAUGAUUUUGGUGGCAGCAUGAAACCUAGGCGCAUGAUAUACUGGUAAAACAGUUAGGGAGUGAUGAUUCACAAACAAAAUAUCCAGAAAAUUAGUUGAAUACAUUUAAGGGGCGAGAACAACAAGUAUGUGCUGAAAAAUUAUUUCACAUGGUUGCUUCACUCUUGGUUCAGGGAUUCUUGCACAUUCCCAAAGUAGCAACUUCAAGUUAUAGGUAGGAGAAAGUUGCACUUAAUGGCUUCAGAUCGUGCACAUUACAUUUUUUCAUAGGGGCAUAUGUUUUUUUGCGAAUAUGCAAAGCUUGCGUAUCAUUCCAUUAUUAGAAAAGAGAAUGAGUAUAGUCGAGGGUACAACACAUGACAUGAACGUGCAAAGGCAUGAACACUGAACCCGGAGCAGAGAGACAAGGGAUGCUCAGCCCAAACAUGGAAAAGACACAACUAAACCCACCAAUCCUAGAACUAGGGAGGCAGACCAAACAAGCAUGACAUCGGACAUCUCCAAAUCCAUCACCGGGGACGCCGCAAGCAAGCAAGAUAGCGCCUUCAAGAAGGAGAACAACGUCGCAAAGCCGCCACCAUACGAUCUGGAGAACCGGACCUAGGGUUUCCCACAAUGCUCGAAGAGAUGUUUAUUUGAUCUCAAGUUUAUUCAAAGUGGGCCACGAGAACUUUAUGAAUCUGCUUGGCUAUUGGUGAAGAACAAAAUCCUUUCAUCAGAGGUACGAUGUUUGAAUAAGGUCAAAAUGGGGCUCUCUUCGAGCAUCUCCAUGGUAAGUGUGUACUGAUUCUGUUAAUUUUCUUACUGUCAACAGAAUGGUUCCUAUAACGUGCAUCCAGUUCAACAAUUUUAGCAUGUGUUGGUAGCCAACAAUUACUAAUAAUCAGUAUUUGAUAAUGCUUUGGAUUAUUCUGCAGUUCUUUUUUUACCGCAGUUAUGUUGCAGUCAAAGAUACUGAGAACAUGGACUGGAUGACCCAACUUCAAAUGGCGAUGGGGAUAGCUUACUGUCGAGAGAACAUGCUUAAGCUGAAUCUACCUGCUAGGCCAAGGAACCUCAUCUCAACAGUUAUGUUGCAACGGUGUCAGAUCUUGAUGUCUGGAAUGGCACCAAGGGAUCUGAUUCUGUCACUGAUGAUUGCAUCAUGCUAUAUUUCAUUGUGCAUCAGGAUGGCAUCAUGCUUAAGUUGAAUCUACAUACUAUAGCUUACUGACGAAGAUAAUGGCUGCAUCUUUUUUAGUUGGUCUCGUCGCAUCUAAUAGAAAACAUACAACUUGAUACAUUCUGUCGGAUGCAUAUCUUUUUUUCCUGGAAGUCGAACACUCAGAGCAAUGAUGGUAAACCAGGGGGCAUUUAUUUUUUUAGUUACAGAUUUGCUCAGCAGUCUUGGUGACGUAUGAUAUUUCCUUGGGGGCAAAUUCAGAUAUUUUGCCUCUUUUUCAGAUAGCUAAAGAUGGUUUUGCUGGCCCCUUGUUUCUUGAAGAUAAUCUCUUUUGCGCUGUGGAAUAUUUGGAAAUAGAUGAAUGCUUGGAUUUUUUAAGGGAAGCAAGCAUCUUUAUCCGGAUGGCUCUGGUCACAUAGAGUUAAAACCAAAGUCCACUCUAAGUGCUUGGAUCUCCUCUACGUCUUGAGCUUUUGAUCCUUAGACUUUAAUUUUUCUUUUUCUUUUAGGGGUAUCCUCUACCUCUAUGUAAUCAUGUAGCUUUGUACAUUACUCCCCUUUUUCCUCGCUCUAUUAAUGAAAAUUACAUAGUAGGGGGUUCCCCUACUGUUUGCCCA
Molecule: long non-coding RNA, 4575 nt
Organism: Triticum aestivum (bread wheat)
Lineage: Eukaryota; Viridiplantae; Streptophyta; Magnoliopsida; Poales; Poaceae
Exons: 3
Source: RefSeq, a predicted model, not a curated record